UACAGAGGUCCCAAGCGUUGUUCGGAUUCACUGGGCGUAAAGGGUGCGUAGGUGGCGGGGUAAGUUUGAUGUGAAAUCUCCGGGCUUAACCCGGAAACUGCAUUGAAUACUAUUCUGCUCGAGGUUUGGAGGGGGGACUGGAAUUCUCGGUGUAGCAGUGAAAUGCGUAGAUAUCGAGAGGAACACCAGUGGCGAAGGCGAGUCCCUGGACAACACCUGACACUGAGGCACGAAAGCUAGGGGAGCAAACAGG
RNAcentral lists this ribosomal RNA (253 nucleotides) under uncultured bacterium. RNAcentral describes it as "partial 16S ribosomal RNA". It matches the Rfam family "Bacterial small subunit ribosomal RNA", at positions 524 to 776 of the family's 1533-position model. The record is from RNAcentral.